ACAUGCAAGUCGAGGGGCAUCAGUUUGGUUUGCUUGCAAACCAAAGCUGGCGACCGGCGCACGGGUGAGUAACACGUAUCCAACCUGCCUCAUACUCGGGGAUAGCCUUUCGAAAGAAAGAUUAAUACCCGAUAGUAUAAUGAAACCGCAUGGUCUUAUUAUUAAAGAAUUUCGGUUAUCGAUGGGGAUGCGUUCCAUUAGUUUGUUGGGGGGGUAACGGCCCACCAAGACUACGAUGGAUAGGGGUUCUGAGAGGAAGGUCCCCCACAUUGGAACUGAGACACGGUCCAAACUCC
RNAcentral lists this ribosomal RNA (296 nucleotides) under uncultured Bacteroides sp. RNAcentral's name for it is "partial 16S ribosomal RNA". It matches the Rfam family "Bacterial small subunit ribosomal RNA", at positions 53 to 339 of the family's 1533-position model. The record is from RNAcentral. Lineage: Bacteria; Pseudomonadati; Bacteroidota; Bacteroidia; Bacteroidales; Bacteroidaceae.